GGCCACGUGGCGAAGUAGCAAACGCAUCGGUCUGCAAAACCGACAUUCGUGGGUGCAAGUCCCAUCGUGGCCUCAA
Molecule: transfer RNA, 76 nt
Filed under: Candidatus Yanofskybacteria bacterium RIFCSPHIGHO2_01_FULL_44_24
Lineage: Bacteria; Candidatus Yanofskyibacteriota
Also listed under: 2 other names
Description: tRNA-Cys
Rfam family: tRNA
About the family: Transfer RNA (tRNA) molecules are approximately 80 nucleotides in length.
Source: RNAcentral